GGUUUGAUUAUGGCUCAGAUUGAACGCUGGCGGGAUGCUUUACACAUGCAAGUCGAACGGCAGCACGGACUUCGGUCUGGUGGCGAGUGGCGAACGGGUGAGUAAUGUAUCGGAACGUGCCCUAGUAGCGGGGGAUAACUACGCGAAAGCGUAGCUAAUACCACGCUACGCCCUUCGGGGGAAAGCAGGGGACCUUCGGGCCUCGCACUAUUAGAGCGGCCGAUAUCGGAUUAGCUAGUUGGUGGAGUAACGACUCGCAAGGCGACGAUCCGUAGCUGGUUUGAGGACGACCAGCCACACUGGGACUGAGACACGGCCCAGACUCCUGGGAGGCAGCAGUGGGGGAAUUUUGGACAAUGGAAACCCUGAUCCAGCCAUCCCGCGUGUGCGAUGAAGGCCUUCGGGUUGUAAAGCACUUUUGGCAGGAAAGAAACGGCACGGGAUAAUACCCCGUGCAACUGACGGUACCUGCAGAAUAAGCACCGGCUAACUACGUGCCAGCAGCCGCGGUAAUAUAGGGUGCAAGCGUUAAUCAGGUACUGGGCGUAAAGCGUGCGCAGGCGGUUCGGAAGAAGAUCUUGAAAUCCCAGAGCUUAACUUUGGAACUGCAUUUUUAACUACCGAGCUAGAGUGUGUCAGAGGGAGGUGGAAUUCCGCGUGUAGCAGUGAAAUGCGUAGAUAUGCGGAGGAACACCACCGAUGGCGAAGGCAGCCUCCUGGGAUAACACUGACGCUCAUGCACGAAAGCGUGGGGAGCAAGCGGAUUAGAUACCCUGGUAGUCCACGCCUAAACGAUAUCAACUAGCUGUUGGGGCCUUCGGGCCUUGGUAGCGCAACUAACGCGUGAAGUUGACCGCCUGGGGAUACGGUCGCAAGAUUAAAACUCAAAGGAAUUGAGCGGGGACCCGCACAAGCGGUGGAUGAUGUGGAUUAAUUCGAUGCAACGCGAAAAACCUUACCUACCCUUGACAUGUCUGGAAUCCCGAAGAGAUUUGGGAGUGCUCGCAAAGAGAACCGGAACACAGGUGCUGCAUGGCUGUCGUCAGCUCGUGUCGUGAGAUGUUGGGUUAAGUCCCGCAACGAGGCACAACCCUUGUCAUUAGUUGCUACGAAAGAGGCACUCUAAUGAGACUGCCGGUGACAAACCGGAGGAAGGUGGGGAUGACGUCAAGUCCUCAUGGCCCUUAUGGGUAGAGACUUCACGUCAUACAAUGGUCGGGACAGAGGGUCGCCAACCCGCGAGGAGCCAAUCCCGAAACCCGAUCGUAGUCCGGAUCGCAGUCUGCAACUCGACUGCGUGAAGUCCGAAUCACCGCUAGUAAUCGCGGAUCAGCAUGUCGCGGUGAAUACGUUCCCGGGUCUUGUACACACCGCCCGUCACACCAUGGGAGUGGGUUUACCAGAAGUAGUUAGCCUAACCGUAAGGAGGGCGAUUACCACGGUAGGAUUCAUGACUGGGGGUGAAGUCGUAACAAGGUAA
RNAcentral lists this ribosomal RNA (1480 nucleotides) under uncultured Bordetella sp. RNAcentral describes it as "partial 16S-23S ribosomal RNA intergenic spacer". It matches the Rfam family "Bacterial small subunit ribosomal RNA". The record is from RNAcentral. Lineage: Bacteria; Pseudomonadati; Pseudomonadota; Betaproteobacteria; Burkholderiales; Alcaligenaceae.